GAAGUCGCCCAGACAGUCGCCGCGUACUUUGGUACGGGGAGGAAAGUCCGGGCUCCACAGAGCAGGAUGCCGGCUAACGGCCGGGCACCGUGAGGUGACGGAAAGUCCCGCUGGCAGCAGCGGGCAGUGGUGGUGGGUGUCUGAUUCAGGUUCGUCCCGUCGCAUCAUCGCUGGCAACAGAAAGCAAACCGCCGAUGGCGUCAGACGCCAGGUAAGGGUGAAAGGGUGAGGUAAGAGCUCACCGCGUCCGGGGCCAACGCCGGACGGCACGGUAAACCCCAUCCGGAGCAAGACCAAAUAGGGAAGCAUUGGCGUGGCUCGCGUCGCUUCCGGGUAGGUUGCUUGAGCGUGUUGGUAACGGCGCGCCUAGAGGAAUGAUUGUCACGCCAUCCGUGAGGGUGGUGCACAGAACCCGGCUUACCGGGCGACUUCCCCA
Molecule: RNase P RNA, 436 nt
Filed under: Rhodocyclaceae bacterium
Lineage: Bacteria; Pseudomonadati; Pseudomonadota; Betaproteobacteria; Rhodocyclales; Rhodocyclaceae
Description: RNase P RNA component class A
Rfam family: Bacterial RNase P class A
About the family: Ribonuclease P (RNase P) is a ubiquitous endoribonuclease, found in archaea, bacteria and eukarya as well as chloroplasts and mitochondria. Its best characterised activity is the generation of mature 5'-ends of tRNAs by cleaving the 5'-leader elements of precursor-tRNAs.
Source: RNAcentral